CUCAGCAAACGCUGAGGAUAUCUCACUGGGGCCUCCAAAUGUUACGGUGCCCGCGAGUUAAAGUUUAAGACAGCCAAUUAGAAUUUUAAAAAAGCCUUUAUUAG
RNAcentral lists this microRNA precursor (104 nucleotides) under Choloepus hoffmanni (Hoffmann's two-fingered sloth). RNAcentral's name for it is "miRNA (ENSCHOG00000015171.1)". The record is from RNAcentral. Lineage: Eukaryota; Metazoa; Chordata; Mammalia; Pilosa; Megalonychidae.